Molecule: ribosomal RNA, 999 nt
Filed under: uncultured organism
Description: bacterial SSU rRNA
Rfam family: Bacterial small subunit ribosomal RNA
Source: RNAcentral
CGGCGUGCCUAACACAUGCAAGUCGAGCGAGAAGCCUUUACAAGACUCUUCGGAUGACUUUAAAGGUGGAAAGCGGCGGACGGGUGAGUAACGCGUGGGCAACCUGCCUUAUACAGGGGGAUAACACCGGGAAACCGAUGCUAAUACCGCAUAACACAUAGAUAUCGCAUGGUAUUUAUGUCAAAGGAGAAAUCCGGUAUAAGAUGGGCCCGCGUCCAAUUAGCUAGUUGGUGGGGUAGAGGCCUACCAAGGCGACGAUUGGUAGCCGAACUGAGAGGUUGAUCGGCCACAUUGGGACUGAGAGGCGGCCCAGACUCCUACGGGAGGCAGCAGUGGGGAAUAUUGCGCAAUGGGGGGAACCCUGACGCAGCAACGCCGCGUGAAGGAUGAAGGUCUUCGGAUCGUAAACUUCUUUGAUUGGGGAAGAAGCAGUGACGGUACCCAAAGAACAAGCCACGGCUAACUACGUGCCAGCAGCCGCGGUAAUACGUAGGUGGCAAGCGUUGUCCGGAAUUACUGGGUGUAAAGGGCGUGUAGGCGGGGAUGCAAGUCAGAUGUGAAAAUCCGUGGCUCAACUGCGGAACUGCAUCUGAAACUGUAUCUCUUGAGUGCUGGAGAGGGAAGUGGAAUUCCUAGUGUAGCGGUGAAAUGCGUAGAGAUUAGGAAGAACACCAGUGGCGAAGGCGGCUUCCUGGACAGUAACUGACGCUGAGGCGCGAAAGCGUGGGGAGCGAACAGGAUUAGAUACCCUGGUAGUCCACGCCGUUAACGAUUGAUACUAGGUGUAGGAGGUAUCGACCCUUUCUGUGCCGGAGUUACCACAAUAAGUAUCCUACCUGGGGAGUACGCCUGCAAGGUUGAAACUCAAAGGAAUUGACGGGGGCUUGCACAAGCAGUGGAGUAUGUGGUUAAAUUCGAAGCAACGCGAAGACUCUUACCAGGGCUUGACAUCCUCUGACCGCUCUAGAGAUAGAGCUUUCCUUCGGGACAGAGAGACAG